Molecule: ribosomal RNA, 265 nt
Filed under: uncultured archaeon
Lineage: Archaea
Description: partial 16S ribosomal RNA
Rfam family: Archaeal small subunit ribosomal RNA
Source: RNAcentral
ACACGACUACAUUAGAUACCCCCGGUAGUCCUAGCCGUAAACGAUACUCGCUAGGUGUCGGCCACGGUGCGACCGUUGUCGGUGCCGUAGGGAAGCCGUGAAGCGAGCCACCUGGGAAGUACGGCCGCAAGGCUGAAACUUAAAGGAAUUGGCGGGGAGCACCACAACGGGUGGAGCUUGCGGUUUAAUUGGAUUCAACGCCAGGAAGCUCACCGGAUAAGACAGCGGAAUGAUUGCCGGGCUGAAGACCCUGCAUGACCAGCUG